Molecule: ribosomal RNA, 497 nt
Filed under: uncultured bacterium
Lineage: Bacteria
Description: partial 16S ribosomal RNA
Rfam family: Bacterial small subunit ribosomal RNA
Source: RNAcentral
GACGAACGCUGGCGGCGUGCCUAAUACAUGCAAGUUGAGCGAUGAAGCUUGGUGCUUGCACCAAUUUGAAGAGCAGCGAACGGGUGAGUAACGCGUGGGGAAUCUGCCUUUGAGCGGGGGACAACAUUUGGAAACGAAUGCUAAUACCGCAUAACAACUUUAAACAUAAGUUUUAAGUUUGAAAGAUGCAAUUGCAUCACUCAAAGAUGAUCCCGCGUUGUAUUAGCUAGUUGGUGAGGUAAAGGCUCACCAAGGCGAUGAUACAUAGCCGACCUGAGAGGGUGAUCGGCCACAUUGGGACUGAGACACGGCCCAAACUCCUACGGGAGGCAGCAGUAGGGAAUCUUCGGCAAUGGACGAAAGUCUGACCGAGCAACGCCGCGUGAGGGAAGGAGGUUUUCGGAUCGUAAAACUCUGUUGGUAGAGAAGAACGUUGGUGAGAGUGGAAAGCUCAUCAAGUGACGGUAACUACCCAGAAAGGGACGGCUAACUACGUG